ACACUCCUACGGGAGGCAGCAGUGGGGAAUAUUGGACAAUGGGCGCAAGCCUGAUCCAGCCAUACCGCGUGAGUGAUGAAGGCCCUCGGGUUGUAAAGCUCUUUCACCGGUGAAGAUAAUGACGGUAACCGGAGAAGAAGCCCCGGCUAACUUCGUGCCAGCAGCCGCGGUAAUACGAAGGGGGCUAGCGUUGUUCGGAUUUACUGGGCGUAAAGCGCACGUAGGCGGACUAUUAAGUCAGGGGUGAAAUCCCGGGGCUCAACCCCGGAACUGCCUUUGAUACUGGUAGUCUUGAGUUCGAGAGAGGUGAGUGGAAUUCCGAGUGUAGAGGUGAAAUUCGUAGAUAUUCGGAGGAACACCAGUGGCGAAGGCGGCUCACUGGCUCGAUACUGACGCUGAGGUGCGAAAGCGUGGGGAGCAAACAGGAUUAGAAACCCUGGUAGUCCCAUGAU
Molecule: ribosomal RNA, 452 nt
Filed under: uncultured organism
Description: partial 16S ribosomal RNA
Rfam family: Bacterial small subunit ribosomal RNA
Source: RNAcentral